UGACCCUAUGUUCUUGUUGCAGUAUACUGAACAAGCUGACUCCUGAGAAAUUUGAUCUUUUAAAGGGUCAAUUGAUUGACUCUGGGAUCACAACGCCUGAUAUCUUAGAGGUCCUAGUUUUAACACUAAUGCCUGCAUGGCAACGUAUUUUCUUCUUUAAUUUGCGUUGCAUAUUCUUACCUAGAGCUUAUGUUGUCUUUCAUUUCCGUGCAGGGAGUCAUCUCCUUGAUAUUUGACAAGGCUGUGCUGGAGCCCACAUUUUGCCCAAUGUAUGCGCUUCUUUGUUCUGAUCUAAAGGAGAAGCUCCCUAACUUCCCUUCUGAUGAGCCUGGCGGAAAAGAAAUCACAUUCAAACGAAUCCUUUUGAAUAACUGUCAAGAGGCAUUUGAAGGGGCUGACAAAUUGAGGGAAGAGGUUAGGCAGAUGAAUGCUCCUGAGCAAGAAUCAGAACGAAGAAAUAAGGAAAGGUUGGUCAAACUCCGUACACUUGGAAACAUCCGUCUAAUUGGGGAGCUUUUGAAGCAGAAGAUGGUUCCAGAGAAGAUUGUUCAUCACAUUGUGCAGGUUCUCUGUCUCCCUCUCUCAUGUGCACGAUGUGCACACUCACCCAGUGGCACGCAUGUGUACCCUAGUUCUCACCCUUAGUACCCUCUCUUCCUGAUGACAUUAUUUCUCUAGUUGUUAUUUCUACAUUUUUUCGUCUCAUAAUUUACUAGAUUAUCUUGCGUAACAUGGGUUUUGUGAACAGCAACUCUUAGGACAUGAUACCAAGAGUUGUCCAGCAGAGGAGAAUGUUGAGGCCAUAUGUCAGUUCUUUCACACCAUUGGUAAACAGCUCGACGAGAACCAAAAAUCCAAGCGUAUAAAUGACAUGUAUUUCAAUCACCUGAAGGAAUUAUCAACAAACUCUCAGCUAGCCGCACGACUGAAGUUUAUGAUUCGUGAUGUUAUUGAUUUGCGUGCAAAUAAUUGGAUUCCCAGACGGGAAGAGGUGAGCCUUCAGAGCAUAUAAGUGACCUUCUUCACGCUCAUUGCUGUUAAAAGGUCUCAUGAUGUCCCACCCUUAUGUUGCAGGUGAAAGCCAAAACCAUCACUGAGAUCCACUCGGAAGCUGAGAAGAAUCUGGGCUUACGUCCAGGUGCUACUGCUAGCAUUAGAAAUAGCCGACCUGCUUCCGGCUCUCAAGGUAGUAUUAGCCCAGGUGGCUUCCCAAUUAAUCGGCCCGGUGCUGGUGGUAUGAUGCCCGGAAUGCCUGGAGCAAGAAAGAUGCCUGGGAUGCCUGGAAUGGACAAGGACAACUGGGAAGUUCCAAGGUCUCGGUCAAUGCCAAGAGGCGAUGGUUCAACAGCUCCUGCUGGCCGUGUUCAACCACCACUAUUUGACAAGUCUCCAUCACCUAUCCAGGGAUCUCUACCUCAAGGUAGUGGUGUUUUCAUGAUUGGUAGAACUACUGUCCUCUCGCAAGGGAGUGGUGUGCCCCCUCCAUCUCGUGCAGCUGAUUAUGGAGGAUUUGGUAUGGAAACUGUAUCUCAAGCCCCUGCUCCAUUUAGACAGGCUACGCCACCAUCAAUUGCACCAGUUAAUGACAAGCCGGUGGCUCCUGCCCAGUUUUUGAAUGCAGAUGAACUCGAGAGAAAAACGGAUUCUCUACUGGAGGAAUAUUUUGGCAUCCGACUUGUGGAUGAAGCGUUACAAUGUAUAGAGGAGUUGAAGUCGCCCUCUUACCAUCCUGAAAUUGUCAAGGCAGCCAUUUCCCUUGGAUUGGAGAAAAGCCCUCCAUGUGUUGAGCCAGUAACAAAACUUCUCGAAUACUUGUUGGCCAAGAAAGUCCUUACUCCGAAGGACAUAGCCACCGGAUGCCGCCUCUACAGUGCAUUGUUGGAUGAUCUCGCCAUUGAUUUACCAAAAGCUCCAGAAAAUUUUGGGGAGAUUAUUGGGGGCCUCGUUUUGGCCGGUGCCUUGGACUUCAAGAUUGUCGUAGAAAUCCUGAAAACAAUAAGCGACGGCUACUUCCGAAAAGCAGUAUUCUCCUCCAUAAAGAAGAUUUUAAGCUCAAGCCCUGCUGGAAAGGGAAUAUUGGAUUCACAAGCAUCUGAUAUUGAUUCCUACCAAAGCUUAUUUUAGAGCUUCUUCUAUACGUUGUUCUUGGAGGUAAUUAAGAGAGAGAGAGAGAGUCAUGGCAUAAAAUAUUUUUGCUCUUGGGUCUGCUGUGGCAUAAUCAUUGGGCAAUGGAGCCCCGAUAAUUGAAGGGGUCCUUUAUAUGACCCACAGUUGUUUUUGUAUUUCAUUAGUUUUUUAUUUCUUUGCUGAGUUGACUUGAGAAGUUUUGUCAAACUUUGUGAGUUCAUAAUGUUCGCAUAAUUUCCAUUUUCCAAUGAAGAAUGCUACGGUAUACUAAUUUGUUUUAA
This 2408-nucleotide long non-coding RNA is filed under the name Olea europaea subsp. europaea. Lineage: Eukaryota; Viridiplantae; Streptophyta; Magnoliopsida; Lamiales; Oleaceae. The record is from RNAcentral.